GCAUUGCUGAGGGGUCCCAUACCAGGACGAAACGGCUGUCCAGUGC
RNAcentral lists this non-coding RNA (46 nucleotides) under Schistosoma margrebowiei. The record is from RNAcentral. Lineage: Eukaryota; Metazoa; Platyhelminthes; Trematoda; Strigeidida; Schistosomatidae.